Symsagittifera roscoffensis is the source of this 599-nucleotide long non-coding RNA. RefSeq lists it as uncharacterized. The record is from RefSeq and is a predicted model, not a curated record. Lineage: Eukaryota; Metazoa; Xenacoelomorpha; Acoela; Convolutidae. The transcript has 3 exons.
CAAAUGUAGCAUCAAAGGCCCAAAUUAAUCACCAGAGAAAGGCAAAUAUCACGUUCCAUCUGAGCGAUGUCAUUAAAUAUUGAGAGAUCGUUUCAACUAUGCCAAGCUUGAAGCUCAAAAAUUUUGUUGCGUUAGUUGCGAUGCAUAUUUUGGCAGACAACAUCAUUUUUUCAGCUCGAGACACAGAACGAAAACUGUUUGCACCAAGAGUAAAAUCAACUUCUUUAAUUAUCAAUGGAAUCAAAGCUAAUCAGAGACCUUUUUAUGCAAGGAUUGUUGCAUACAAGAGCAGAACAUUCUGUGGCGCGACUGCAAUUGACUCCCGCUGGGUUAUAACAUCCGCACAUUGCAUUGCUAACGUCAGCUCGUUUUGGCUAUCCGUGGAAAUUGGAGACUUUGCAAAUCCGAUGCUGAACAAAGUCAAAUUUAGCGUGGAAAAAGUCAAGGUUAUCGAUGGUUUCGAAUUCAAGAACAACAGACUUUACAAUAAUAUCGCACUUGUCAAAAUGAAUCGGCGUCUCGGGUUUCGUCGAGUUCUGCCGAUCUGCCAAGAGUCUCCCGAUUUAGGAACCCGAUUUUUUCUUACCCAUAACCCUAGC